CCUACGGGUGGCAGCAGUCGAGAAUUAUUCACAAUGGGGGAAACCCUGAUGGUGCGACGCCGCGUGGGGGAAUGAAGGUCUUCGGAUUGUAAACCCCUGUCAUGUGGGAGCAAAUUAAAAAGAUAGUACCACAAGAGGAAGAGACGGCUAACUCUGUGCCAGCAGCCGCGGUAAUACAGAGGUCUCAAGCGUUGUUCGGAAUCACGGGGCGUAAAGGGUGCGUAGGCUGUUUCGUAAGUCGUGUGUGAAAGGCGCGGGCUCAACCCGCGGACGGCACAUGAUACUGGGAGACUAGAGUAAUGGAGGGGGAAGCGGAAUUCUCGGUGUAGCAGUGAAAUGCGUAGAUAUCGAGAGGAACACUCGUGGCGAAGGCGGGUUCCUGGACAUGAACUGACGCUGAGGCACGAAGGCCAGGGGAGCGAAAGGGAUUAGAUACCCGAGUAGUC
RNAcentral lists this ribosomal RNA (446 nucleotides) under uncultured bacterium. RNAcentral describes it as "partial 16S ribosomal RNA". It matches the Rfam family "Bacterial small subunit ribosomal RNA", at positions 338 to 795 of the family's 1533-position model. The record is from RNAcentral.